Long non-coding RNA from Symphalangus syndactylus (siamang), 2067 nucleotides. RefSeq lists it as uncharacterized. NCBI's taxonomy places the organism in Eukaryota, Metazoa, Chordata, Mammalia, Primates, Hylobatidae. The record is from RefSeq and is a predicted model, not a curated record.
CAGGGCCAAGUCCUCGGGGCCACCGCAGGGCGGAGGCGCGUACUUGCGGCGCAGGGAGCGGCUGACGUUCUGCGUCGGGUACCCCAGGAGCUCCAGGCCAAGAGAACGACAGCUCGUUCCUGAGAUAAGGAUCCUGCUGCCAUCUGCCAGAUCCUGAGGCUGCUCAAGGCAAGCCAGGGAUGAGCCAGAACUCGGCUGAGAGCAGAGGCUCCACCCUGGAGAAGCACCGCUGGAAGCACCCACACAGGAAGGACUCUCUCCAUGCCAUAGGAGCCUGCCAGGCAGAAGGCACUAACGAAGUAUUACAGGGAAUGUGAGAGGAGAGGCUGGAGAGAGGGAAGAAAGGCAAAGUGGAAGAGAGAGCUGGAUGGGAGACUUGAAGAGAGACAGGAAUGGAGGAAUCACAUGGGCUCUCCAAGGAAGAACACAGUGGUGAUUCUUUGCCCCCCAAAAGCACCAGAAGCUGGCCACGCUUUACGGGGUCUCAUCUCAAUAGUGGUGCCUACUCUCUGCUUGUAAAUUCUUUCUGAAUCUUCAAGGUGCUUCCAGAACUUCUGGCCCUCCCUCUGGAGGUUUAUGGGAUUGUCCUCCUCCCCAUUUUACAGAUGGGGAAACAGAGGCCUGGAGAAACAUGGGGAUUCAGCCAAUGCAGCUGGUGCCUAAGCUGGGAUACCCAGUCAGCAAGCUCCUCAGCUCUCUCUCCCAAGUCCCCAUGUAGCCCAGGGCUCACCCUGCAGCACCCAGGGAGGAGUUGUCCUGCAGAGGAAACCUCUGAGAUAAGACUCUGGGAGCAGAAGCUGUGACAAUGGAUAGGCAAAGAGUCACAGAGAAGCCAAGGAGCCUUGCAGCUGCUGUCUGUCCACCCAGCUUUCAGUGACGAUUUGGAGGUGGAGGUCUGCCAGGUGAGGCCAUGGUUGCAUGAGAAGGGCAGGGGGCUCAGAGGUUGCAUGGGUGGUGAUGGGACAACAUUGGGUUCUCGUUAUAGAGAGGCAUGAGAUCGACAUGUGGGGUUAAGUUUGAGGGUGUGGGUUGGGUUCAAGACUAAGGCUCAAAUCAAAGCUGGCAGGGAAGAGCCGUGAACACAGGUGACAUAGGGACUCCCCAAGCCCCUGCUCAGGUUUCCCAAACCUCAGUGGUUCUGACUGGUACACUUCAGAAGAAGCGGGAUUCUAGGAGGAGCCUGGAUAUGCCCACAUCUCUCCCAUUAAGCAAUGUCCUGAAGCUGACAGACUCAGAAGAGCAAGCAGCACACACAUAGUCCCCAUCAAUUAAAGGAGUGGCUGGAGUUGUCACUACAUCAACAAAGCACAAGAGCAAAGGGAGACAAUUGAAUGCCACCAACUGAACUGUUAGCAAGAGAAUGAGUGGAGGCAAGAAGAAAUCGCUUGUAAAGGGUAUGUGAUUUCCUGAUGACAGAUCUGAGGAAGAAUGAAGAGACUUUGAAGAUAAAGGUAUCUUCACCUCUCCAAGAUCAACCACAUCCUGCAGAACCUUCAUUCAUUCAGCAAACAGCCGGGCUUUAUGCUAGGCCCUGGGGAAAUGGCAAUUAAGGAGACUCAGUCUCUAUCCUUACAGAGCACCCCAUCUGAUAGGGAAAUAGCUCCUGGCCCGCAAUGUGAUAAGCUGCAGUAAUACGCGCAAGGCCCCUGAGCUAGUGGCAAUGAUGUUUAAGCCGAGAUCUGAAGGAUAACUAACAACGGCGUGCCAGAGAAAAGAGUAGCGGGUGGAGAGAGGGGGCCAGGGGAAUAUUUCUGGGCUUGGCAAGUAAGCCAGGUCCCUGCCAGACAUGGACUGAGAAGAGCAAAGCCAGGAGUGACAGCCAAUGAUUAUUUUUUAACUGAGGAAGGAAGAUCCUUGAGAACGGAACCUCUUGGGACCUUCUACCCAGAACACCAGAGCACCUCAGUGGGAUCAGAGCCAGGCCAUUGGGUGGAUUAAGCAACUAAAAUUGAUCGUCCUGAACCAUGAGUCUGUCUGUUUAUGGGGAGAGAAACUUUGUGAUGAAUUAAUCCACAGGUCCAAUGGGACUUUGACCUUUUAAUUUGUAGAAAUAAAACUUGCCUUUGA